AUAUAUAGCCUAACCUAACCUACGAGUUGGGAAUUAUAUAAACUCGCAGGUCAAUAAUUUAUCACAUUUACCAAAUUUAGUGGUGAUUAUAUAUGUAUAAUAACCGGCAAUUAUAUAUAAUCACCGGAUUAAUCACAUUUACCGUAAUAAGAGCGUUUCAAUUCAUUGACCACCACCCUCUAGGUAUUCUGUAUAAUGCCCGAACAUUUUAUUGAUUGACCGAAACUUGUUACGGACAUUUUGCACAAUGUCUAUUCGAACGGGCAUUCUACACAAUGCCCGGUCAUUUUACAAAAUGCCCACGUUGAACACAUUGCCCGUAACAUAUAUAUAUUGUGUAAUGCAUGAUUCUCCAAAGCCACCCAAAAUAGAGGGACAGGCACGUUUAUACAGCAUGAAAUUUUGUCCUUUUUCACAACGCAUUAGAUUAAUAUUAUCGUAUAAAAAUAUUCCUCAUGAUGUUGUUAAUAUCAACUUAAAAAAUAAACCAGAAUGGUAUUCUGAGAUUCAUCCAGAAGGCAAAGUACCAACAUUUGUUGAUGCAGAUGGAAAAGUAGUUACUGAUUCGUUAAAAAUAGCAAAUUAUUUGGAUGAGAAAUAUCCUGAGCCUGCUUUAUAUAAUGAAAAAGCAAAAGACCGUGAUUUAGAAUUAUUAGAUCAUUAUUCAAAGAUUGUUGGUGUUUUUUCAAAUUGUAUACAUGAUAAGGAUAAAAGACCACUUAGCGAAAUUGUAACUGAAAUAUCAUCUCUGUUAGUAGAAUUUGAAGAAGAACUUAAAGCUCGUGGAACUACUUUCUUUGGAGGCUCACAGCCUGGUAUGUUGGAUAUAUUAAUGUGGCCAUGGGUUGAACGCCGAAAAGCUUUACCGCUAAUUUAUAAAGAACCCACGAAUUUUGAUCAUGAAAAUUUUCCGCAUAUACUGAAAUGGAUGCAGGAAAUGAAAGUACAACCAUUUGUACAGGAAAAUGAGUGUUCGCAUGAAAAAUUUGCCGAAUCAAUCGAGAAUAUGAGAGCGGGAAAGCUUGAUUACGAUAAGCUUUAAAUCCCUUAAUAUGUGAUAAUACAUUUUUUGAUUUAUAUAGGUUUCUCAAAUGAUUCAUACGGGGUAUAAAUUACAGUAUUACAGUAAUUGUUUAAUUGAAUUUCUCGUUAAUGUUUAAAACAUAUCGAACAGUAUUGCUUAUAAAUAGGAACAGUUACUAUAUGAAUACAUAUAAACGAGCUUUAUAACUCAUGCCUUCUAUUAUGACAAAUAUACUGUUUAGAUAAAGCAACUUGGACUUUAGUAUGUAGUUAUUCGUUGAAAUAUUUUUAUUUUACAUAAAGAAAAAUGUAGAAAAUGUAUUGUAAAAUACUUUGAAGUUCUGAUAAGAAAUUUCGACAUAUUUAUAAUACGUUGCUUAUGAAAAAGUACAUACACAAAAAAGCAGAUGUGUACACAAGUGCAAUACUCAAUAUUAGCAUGUAUUUACUUCCGUAUUGGACAUGCUGGGAUUGUCUCAGGAAGAUUGAAUUUCAUCUAUGUUUAUAUGAGCAAUAAAACGUAGUCUCAUUUGCAAAGCUGGCCUUAGUCUUCGUAUAAUGCAUUCGACUUCGUUCUUCAUCAUGUCACCAACAAACAUGUAUUUUAUGUGAUACCUGUUGCAAUUAAUAUUAAGGAAAAUACACGUUUCGUUAAACGAUUCUUUGAAAGACAAUAAAUAAAAGGAUACAGUAAAUCACAAACUGGAUCCAUGUAUUUUAGAUGAGACUGAAGACGAUCCACUUGUUCGAGCAUCUCAUAUAAACAAACUGCUAAUUCCACGACACAAUUUGGUCUUUCAGCGUUAAAUCUUGCUAACGUGGGUCCAAUUAAAUGACAAGCAUAUAUCAAUUGCUCUUCGCUAUUCACAACUGGUUGAAGGUUUUCCUUAAUAAAUCUAAAUAAAAUUAUAUUAAAAUCACUGCGAGACUAUUAUGGGUAUUAUUGAAAUUGAACAUUUGAAACGGAGUUAAAUUAUUAUAUUGCCAGUUAGCUAAUCCUGGACUGCUAAUAGUUUCUACCAGACGAUCAUGAAGUGCCGACCAAUAACAUUCUGGUAAAGCAGCUAAUAACAAUCCCACACAAUUAAUCCACAAAUGAAUUUCAUCCGACGCUUACCCUUUUGCAACCACAUCUAAUAACGAAUUAGCAACUAAAUUUGGAGCAACAGGAACAGCCAUUAACUCAACACACGUAACAUACAACGCAUGGGCGGCAGGAUUAGGAAAUUCGUUAAAUCUCCAAUCAGUAGCGGGAAAAUGAGCCAUACCUGACAUUGCUUUGGUACAUAUUUUGUUAGAAGAAAAGUUGACCAUUUGACCAAUAUUUUGUACUAAGAGGACUACUUACUUUCGACAAUUCUUUGCACUAAACGGAUGUAAUAAUCUAAUUCCGGCAUCCAAGUGACAACAUCGUCGGUAGAUCGAGUCAUGUACAUUUGGUAAGCUUCUGAAAGUGCCCAUCCUGGUGCUCUAAUUUCUCUCAGAGAUCCUAAAACUGCGAAGACUAAACGUCGUUUAAGAGGCGGGUUAUCCCUUAAUUUCCGUUCAUAAUAGUGUAAUGUGUUGUAAAGAUAUGUUACAGGUCGAUCUGAAAUUCAAUACAUCAAAUUAAAUGAAAGAAAUUUAAAUAU
Non-coding RNA from Osmia lignaria (orchard mason bee), 2654 nucleotides. The record is from RefSeq and is a predicted model, not a curated record. NCBI's taxonomy places the organism in Eukaryota, Metazoa, Arthropoda, Insecta, Hymenoptera, Megachilidae.